This 253-nucleotide ribosomal RNA is filed under the name uncultured bacterium. RNAcentral describes it as "partial 16S ribosomal RNA". It matches the Rfam family "Bacterial small subunit ribosomal RNA", at positions 524 to 776 of the family's 1533-position model. The record is from RNAcentral.
UACGGGGGGUGCGAGCGUUGUCCGGAAUCACUGGGCGUAAAGGGCGCGUAGGUGGUUUGAUAAGGGUGUGGUGAAAGUCCGGAGCUCAACUCCGGAUCUGCCGUGCCGACUGUCAAACUCGAGGGCUGUAGAGGCAGACGGAAUUCCGGGUGUAGCGGUGGAAUGCGUAGAGAUGUGGAGGAACACCAGUGGCGAAGGCGGCUUUCUGGUCUGUAACUGACGCUGAGGCGCGAAAGCGUGGGGAGCAAACAGG